This 237-nucleotide ribosomal RNA is filed under the name uncultured bacterium. RNAcentral's name for it is "partial 16S ribosomal RNA". It matches the Rfam family "Bacterial small subunit ribosomal RNA", at positions 15 to 248 of the family's 1533-position model. The record is from RNAcentral.
GAUCCUGGCUCAGGAUGAACGCUAGCGACAGGCUUAACACAUGCAAGUCGAGGGGCAGCACGGGUAGCAAUACCGGGUGGCGACCGGCGCACGGGUGAGUAACGCGUAUGCAACUUACCUAUCAGAGGGGGAUAACCCGGCGAAAGUCGGACUAAUACCGCAUGAAGCAGGGGCCCCGCAUGGGGAUAUUUGCUAAAGAUUCAUCGCUGAUAGAUAGGCAUGCGUUCCAUUAGGCAG